RNAcentral lists this signal recognition particle RNA (99 nucleotides) under Paenibacillaceae bacterium. RNAcentral's name for it is "signal recognition particle sRNA small type". It matches the Rfam family "Bacterial small signal recognition particle RNA". From Rfam's summary of the family: The signal recognition particle (SRP) is a universally conserved ribonucleoprotein involved in the co-translational targeting of proteins to membranes. Archaeal SRP consists of a 7S RNA and homologues of the eukaryotic SRP19 and SRP54 proteins. Lineage: Bacteria; Bacillati; Bacillota; Bacilli; Caryophanales; Paenibacillaceae. The record is from RNAcentral.
CAUCAGGUUCUGCGCAACGGGAACCCAUGAAUCUGGUCAGGUCCGGAAGGAAGCAGCCAUAAGUGGUCAUUUCCGUGUGCCGCAGGUUACCUGAUUGUA